Long non-coding RNA from Episyrphus balteatus (marmalade hoverfly), 392 nucleotides. RefSeq lists it as uncharacterized. Lineage: Eukaryota; Metazoa; Arthropoda; Insecta; Diptera; Syrphidae. The transcript has 2 exons. The record is from RefSeq and is a predicted model, not a curated record.
GUAAAAAUAAAAAAACGAGUGUUUUUAAAAACAAUUCAGGUUUGAGUCAAUACUCGUAUGUGCUGAUAUACAAAAUUUUAGUUUGCUAUAAAAAGAGGACAAUCGGGCUGUAUCAUCAUCAGUUGAUCUUUGUUUGUCAAGCAUAUCAUCAAUAUGAAGUUCUUAUUUUUACUAUUUGCCCUGUUCUUUGUUGCAGUCAGCGCAAGUGGCAUAGCUGCUCCCGUUAGAGAAGUCAGAUCAGCUUAUGGUAAUACUAGGAGACCUCCAACUGCACCUCCUCGUCGCCCCAGUAACACUUACGGUGCAUCAGGUUAAAUUACCUUUCAAACUGGUAUUAAAAUGGAUUUUUAUUAGACAGAAAAAUAUAUUGUUAAAUUUAUCAGCAUUCUAAA